This 139-nucleotide small nucleolar RNA is filed under the name Drosophila ananassae. RNAcentral's name for it is "snoRNA:GF26097". The record is from RNAcentral. Lineage: Eukaryota; Metazoa; Arthropoda; Insecta; Diptera; Drosophilidae.
CCUUCUUCCAGAUUUUUGUUGGAAUUAUUCACCUUUUCCUAUAAGACAUUAAAGAAAGGCAGAACGAACCACAUUAUGAGCAUAUACCAACCAAGUUGCUUCCUUGAUGAGCAGAUUGGGUGAUGCUUCAGGAACACUA